UUGUUUUGCUAAAUUAAUCUUGCCAUUAAAGACAAAACAUUACCAUCAAGGGGCUUGUCACAUAAACUGUCCCACCUAGUUUAAACACAACAAAACUCUCUUUGAAAAAUCAGUAAGUACUACCAGAUGCUAUUGAAGGGUCAAGACAUCACCACUAGCUUACUCGGUCAAUCAGUUCAUUUCCCAACAAUAAAAACAUAUGAGCAGUUAACCUUCCUGCAGCAUCUCACACUAUUUUACAACACCAUCAACAAAAGUGGUGUAAUGAAUUUGCUUGUCACUAGCUCCUCAUUCUCCUCCCUUAGGCUGCUGCAUCCCACCUCGUGACAGCACUGCCUCUGUGACUGCACUUUCAUUUGGCAAUGGAGUGUUUGGCAGGUUCAGUACAUUUGGGAAAUCCACAGAGGCACCAGUGAUUGAGUGCCAAUGCCACGCUAAAAACCCCUGGAUUGGAGCGAUGGCUGAUGGGUCUUGAAUCUAAAGCAUGCUGUGGAUGGGAGGGGGUUGCAGGGGCUCCUAAAAGCCCAUCUUCAUCAUCCCUAUGAAGUGCGUGGGUCAUAAGUGCAUAGGACAGUUAAUAAUUAACAAAUUGCCCUUCUAAGGGUUUUUUUUCCUUCAAGACAGAAUUGGCAAUGAGGAUGGAAUGGGAAGUGGUCCUUGCAUAUGGUUAAAAGACCUUCAUGAAUAUACAACGAAGGAUGAAGGGGAAUGCUCAUUUCUAAGUGAAUGAGGAAGUGACUUUGGAAGCACCAUAUAGGAUUAACCCUCUCCUCCUCUGUGCUGUCACGGCAACACAUGAUGAGUUCUCUGCUCUGACCACUAAGGCCUGUCAAUACACCAUCACAAUGCAAAUGCACACUGUAGCAGAAAAGCGACAUCUAGUGAAAUUCUUCUUUACACCAGCAUAAACUUGAGAUGUGUAUCUAUCCCUCUCAGAUGAUUUGAUGUGUAACGAGACACAUGGUCCACAAUCCUAUACAAAAAUGAUACAGGAACAUAAUGAUACACCGUGAUUCAGUGCCAAUUUCAUACAAUUGAGUUGUGAUAAGUUUUGAUGGUGUGAUCAUUUUUUAUCUCAAAUAAUGCUCUGUACUGGCUAAAUACAAAUCAGAAAUAAACCAGAUACAUUUUUAACAAUACGAUUCGAAGGUGAUUUGAUACGAUGCGAUUCAGCUGUGAUUUAAUUUUGCUAUUAUGUUUUUAUUUGUUCAUUAAUGACAUUUGGUAUAACUAAAUUAAACAAGACACGUAAGUAUUGCAUCCAUUUUACCACUGAUUUGGGAUUAGUGUUAGUUGCUAACACAUGCAUUAUUUGUUUUUUUUCUGUCAAAGCAUCCCCUUUCAAAUUAGCAGUGAAGUUGAUACACCAGAUUAGUAUCUAUCCAACAAAAACUCAAUGCUAUAACCUUCAUGAAGGUUAGUUACUGCGGGGCUAUUUUAUUAGAUUCCAUUAGUUUUAGCUAGGUGUACUGGUUAAACUGGCAACUGAGUACAUUUUAUUAUUAUUGAGCGUUUUGUAAAAUGCUAAUGCAAAAAUAUUGGACAGCGAUAAGGUCUAACAUUUGCUUCAGUGUUGGAUUUCUUUCAGGAAGUUGGGGAACAUAGCUAGCUAGCAGGAGAAGGGCAUGUGGAUCAAACUAACAGACAUAUACUAGGUUACACGGAAAUAUAGUUUUUUGACAUGUAUUAGUUUUUGACAACUGUGGUUGCGUCAAUGUAUAGCCGAUAUGAUAGAUAAUAUGUCGAGUUUGUUGUUUUUUUCCAUAAGCGCAUUUCUCUUAUGUCUUUCCGUCUGUGUGGCAUGUUCCUUAUGAUCAUUCAUACUGCUUCCUGUCUUACUUUGUAAGUGUUCUUCUUUGGGUGUUUUGUGCUGCUUUUACUUCUUGUCCUUGUGUUUCUAGGUUGAUUGUUUGCACCACCCUAUGUGUUUUGCCUGUUUUGUUAUCUUUAGCUGUUUAACCCUCUGCCUCACUAUGUCUAGUUUGUUGUUUCUCCAGUGUUUGUAGUGUCUCGUGUUUACUCGUGCCUCUCUUGCUGUGUGGAUUAUGCCUUCUGUUGGACAUUUGGAUUGCUCACCUCUUCUCGUUGUGGACUACUGUGUUUUGGUUUUCAGACUACAAACUACCAUCACCUGUUAGUGUCAACCAUUUGUUACAUAAAGACUUGCUAUACCUUA
Micropterus dolomieu (smallmouth bass) is the source of this 2176-nucleotide long non-coding RNA. RefSeq lists it as uncharacterized. The record is from RefSeq and is a predicted model, not a curated record. The transcript is spliced from 2 exons. Lineage: Eukaryota; Metazoa; Chordata; Actinopteri; Centrarchiformes; Centrarchidae.